AGCGAACGUUUGCGGCGGGCUUAACACAUGCAAGUCGAACGAGAAUCCCUUCGGGGAGGAAAGUGGCGCACGGGUGCGUAACACGUGGAUAACCAACCCAUUAGUUUGGGACAACACCGGGAAACUGGUGCUAAUACCAGAUGUGUCGCAGCUGUCUUCAGGCGGUUGCGAGAAAGGCCCGCAAGGGUCGCCAACGGACGGGUCCGCGUCCCAUCAGCUAGUUGGUGAGGUAAUGGCUCACCAAGGCAAAGACGGGUAGCUGGUCUGAGAGGAUGAUCAGCCACACUGGAACUGAGACACGGUCCAGACUCCUACGGGAGGCAGCAGUGGGGAAUAUUGCGCAAUGGGCGAAAGCCUGACGCAGCCACGCCGCGUGAGCGAUGAAGGUCUUCGGAUCGUAAAGCUCUGUGGGGGGAGAAGAAGAAAGCCGGUGAAGAGCCGGCCCUGACGGUAUCCCCUUAGCAAGCACCGGCUAACUCCGUGCCAG
RNAcentral lists this ribosomal RNA (487 nucleotides) under uncultured bacterium. RNAcentral's name for it is "bacterial SSU rRNA". It matches the Rfam family "Bacterial small subunit ribosomal RNA", at positions 29 to 511 of the family's 1533-position model. The record is from RNAcentral.